AUAUCCGUCAGGAAAUUUCACUUUAUCUGUAAUCCAAUCAAAGAACUCUUCUUUUCUAGCACCAUCCAGCCGAUAAAUGGGAAAAGGGGCCAUACCGUUCUCAUCAACGUGAAGUUCAGAACGAUCACAGAUAUCGACUAAAUCCAACCUUGACUUCAAAUUAUCCUUCGUUUUACCUUGGAUGUUAAGGACUGUAUUCAUCAGAUUGUCGAAGAAGUUCUUCUCAAUAUGCAUGACAUCUAAAUUAUGCCGCAAUAGAUGAGUCUUCCAAUAUGGCAG
RNAcentral lists this long non-coding RNA (279 nucleotides) under Brassica napus (rape). RNAcentral describes it as "long non-coding RNA (BNAP_LNC002072)". The record is from RNAcentral. Lineage: Eukaryota; Viridiplantae; Streptophyta; Magnoliopsida; Brassicales; Brassicaceae.